Homarus americanus (American lobster) is the source of this 550-nucleotide long non-coding RNA. RefSeq lists it as uncharacterized. The record is from RefSeq and is a predicted model, not a curated record. The transcript has 3 exons. NCBI's taxonomy places the organism in Eukaryota, Metazoa, Arthropoda, Malacostraca, Decapoda, Nephropidae.
GUUGAUCAAAUUGGUACACGCCAUCCACUACACCAUGUAUGGAAGACUGACCCCUGUACCACAAAUCUAUGUACGAGGAAUGGUAUCCAGACCACACGAGAACCUUGUGACCUAGGAUAUUCACCCCAUCCUAGCUGUGAGAAAGUUACUCCUCCUGGAAAAUGCUGUCCAGAGUGGAAGUGCAGGGGCUGCUUUGACCAGGGUGGCCGCUUCCAUCCCCUGGGCCAUGAGUGGAGCGCUGGGGACCCUUGUUUAGUAUUUGUCUGUACUGUGGAUGGAAUAAUACUAAAGUAUGUGCGGUGUGAGGACACGAAGCCGCCACAUGUUGGAUGUUCAGAGUACACCCCUGCGGGAAAAUGUUGUCCACAAUGGAACUGCAGUGAUUGUGUUGAUAAUACCGGGACGCGACAUCCACUGUAUGACCUCUGGAAGAGUGACACCUGCACGACGCACUUCUGUACAAAGAACGGCAUCCAGACUACCCGCGAACAGUGUGACCUGGGACCACCACCUCAUCCAAGUUGUUACAAGAUUACACCCCCAGGAGAAU